This 247-nucleotide ribosomal RNA is filed under the name uncultured bacterium. Its description in RNAcentral is "partial 16S ribosomal RNA". It matches the Rfam family "Bacterial small subunit ribosomal RNA", at positions 523 to 769 of the family's 1533-position model. The record is from RNAcentral.
AGACAGAGGGUGCAAACGUUGUUCGGAAUUACUGGGCGUAAAGCGCGUGUAGGCGGCUGUGCAAGUCGGAUGUGAAAGCCCUUGGCUCAACUGAGGAAGAGCAUUCGAAACUGCGCAGCUUGAGUUCUGGAGAGGAUGGUGGAAUUCUCGGUGUAGAGGUGAAAUUCGUAGAUAUCGAGAGGAACACCAGUGGCGAAGGCGGCCAUCUGGACAGAAACUGACGCUGAGACGCGAAAGCGUGGGUAGC